This 253-nucleotide ribosomal RNA is filed under the name uncultured bacterium. Its description in RNAcentral is "partial 16S ribosomal RNA". It matches the Rfam family "Bacterial small subunit ribosomal RNA", at positions 524 to 776 of the family's 1533-position model. The record is from RNAcentral.
UACAGAGGGUGCGAGCGUUAAUCGGAAUUACUGGGCGUAAAGCGUGCGUAGGCGGUUAUUUAAGUCGGGUGUGAAAGCCCCGGGCUCAACCUGGGAAUUGCAUUCGAGACUGAAUAGCUAGGGUACGGUAGAGGGAAGCGGAAUUUCCGGUGUAGCGGUGAAAUGCGUAGAUAUCGGAAGGAAGACCAGUGGCGAAGGCGGGUCUCUGGACAGUUCCUGACGCUGAGGCACGAAGGUCAGGGGAGCAAACGGG